This 72-nucleotide transfer RNA is filed under the name Neotoma lepida (desert woodrat). It matches the Rfam family "tRNA". Rfam says of the family: Transfer RNA (tRNA) molecules are approximately 80 nucleotides in length. Their secondary structure includes four short double-helical elements and three loops (D, anti-codon, and T loops). Further hydrogen bonds mediate the characteristic L-shaped molecular structure. tRNAs have two regions of fundamental functional importance: the anti-codon, which is responsible for specific mRNA codon recognition, and the 3' end, to which the tRNAs corresponding amino acid is attached (by aminoacyl-tRNA synthetases). tRNAs cope with the degeneracy of the genetic code in two manners: having more than one tRNA (with a specific anti-codon) for a particular amino acid; and 'wobble' base-pairing, i.e. permitting non-standard base-pairing at the 3rd anti-codon position. Lineage: Eukaryota; Metazoa; Chordata; Mammalia; Rodentia; Cricetidae. The record is from Rfam by way of RNAcentral.
GCAGGUGUGGCUCAGUUUGUAGAGCACUUGCCUUGCAUGCAUGAGGCCCUGGGUUCAAUCCUCAGUGUUGUA